This 526-nucleotide ribosomal RNA is filed under the name uncultured bacterium. RNAcentral describes it as "bacterial LSU rRNA". It matches the Rfam family "Bacterial large subunit ribosomal RNA", at positions 827 to 1355 of the family's 2925-position model. The record is from RNAcentral.
GGCUAAUCAAACCCCGUAAUAGCUGGUUCUCCCCGAAAUGUAUUUAGGUGCAGCGUCAUGCGCUUAUCGAGGGGGGUAGAGCACUGAAUGAGCUAGGGGGCAUACCCGCCUACCAAACUCAAUCAAACUCCGAAUACCCUCGAACGAAGCAUGGCAGUAAGACAGUGGGAGAUAAGUUCCGUUGCCAAAAGGGAAAGAGCCCAGAUCGUCAGCUAAGGUCCCUAAAUUCGUGUUAAGUGUUAAAGGAUGUGGAAACGCACAGACAACCAGGAGGUUGGCUUAGAAGCAGCCAUCCUUCAAAGAAAGCGUAAUAGCUCACUGGUCAAGCGGGUCUGCGCCGAAAAUAUAACGGGGCUUAAACACGAUACCGAAGCUACGGGUUCUCGAAAGAGAGCGGUAGGCGAGCGUUCUGACAGAGAUACACGAUAGACGGAGACGACUAUUAACGGCUGUCAGAAGUGACUAUGCAGGCAUGAGUAGCGAUAAACCGAGUGAGAAACUCGGUCGCCGUAAGCCCAAGGUUUCC